Non-coding RNA from Cyanistes caeruleus (blue tit), 1197 nucleotides. Lineage: Eukaryota; Metazoa; Chordata; Aves; Passeriformes; Paridae. The record is from RefSeq and is a predicted model, not a curated record.
GCCCCCUCACAGGUGGCGGAGAGGGCGGCUCGUCCCGCGCUGCCGACACCGAUCCCUCCCACGGUUCUCAGCGCCCGCGUCUAAAUGCGAGUCAAAGCCGAAGGACUUUGCCGUCUUCGCUCACCCACGGGCAAAAAUAAAUCGCAAUGUGCAGAUAACAAUCGAUAACGCAAACAAAAUCUCCUGCUCGGGAUUAUUCAACGGGCAUGCUUAAGUACAACGCUAUUGAUUUGUAACUGUUCAGAGAGCAAUUUGCAUAUGGAAAUGUCUUUAUGGAGGAAUUAACUUCUAACCUCAGUACAACUGCGAGACUCCAGCUGGAAGGACGCUUAUGCCAAAUGAACAUGUGCACCAUUAGCCCAAACGUAAGCACAGAUGUGUACAUUUACAUCCAUUAGCAGAUUCAGAGAAUGACUCUGGAGAGCUGAGAGAGUAGCGAGUCACCAAAGAGCUUCCCAGAAAACUGAACCUUGCAAGCUGAGAAAUGAUAAUUACCUUAACAUUCGUACUAAGACUACAAUAACAGCCUUAAUUAGUAAUGAGGACUGACUGUGAAAAGAAGAAGAAAAAAAAGUUGCAGUUUUAUUCUUCUCUGGGUGAACUAAGGGUUUUAAAAAGCGCAAAAACACUGGGAAAAAUCUCAAAUGCAAAGUGCAAGAUAACCGUGUAAUUACAAGGGAUUUUACGCUCGGCUGCUUUGCAUGCCUGGUUCACCCGAUUGUUUCGAAGGGGGUCCUGGUGCAGAGCAGUGUGAGGACACAUUAUGGAGAACACUGGAACCGAAGCCCAAAGCCCCCGUGGCACAAGCGGGGGACAUGGCGUGUCCCAAAGCACCGACACGAGUGCCAGCUAGAGGUGGCUGGGGGAAAAUAGCACACAACUCGCACAUUCCCAAACGGGACUGGCAGAUCCUGUGUUACCCGCAGAAGGUGUUGAUUACCCAGACAAAGCCAAUCACCUGGAAGAUGUUGAAUAAUCUGCCCAUGGGCCCAAAUGGGUUUAGGCUGGGUGUCAGACUCAUUUACAUGCGUACAGGGUAAAUUCAGCAAGGACAUGGAUAGUUCUUCUCAGGUACAACUAGUGUCUUUGUUUCUUCUCAGGAUUGUUUUAUGAGCCAAAAAGAACUACACAAAUUAGUUUUCCAGUUGCUUCCCUUUAUCUUCCCCAUCUUUAAUAAAUCCAGGAUUCAGAAUAACA